AACGAACGCUGGCGGCGCGGCCUAACACAUGCAAGUCGAGCGAGAAUGAGGGCUUCGGCCUUCUAGUAAAGCGGCGCACGGGUGAGUAACACGUGGGUAAUCUGCCCAACGGUGCAGGAAAACGCUCCGAAAGGAACGCUAAUACUGCAUAAGACCACAGUUUCUGCGGAGACAGGGGUCAAAGAGGGUCUGCUUCGGCAGGCACUUGCCGAUGGAUGAGCCCGNGGCCCAUUAGGUAGUUGGUGAGGUAAUGGCUCACCAAGCCUACGAUGGGUAGCUGGUCUGAGAGGAUGAUCAGCCGACACUGGAACUGAGACACGGUCCAGACUCCUACGGGAGGCAGCAGUGGGGAAUUUUGCGCAAU
This 364-nucleotide ribosomal RNA is filed under the name uncultured bacterium. RNAcentral describes it as "bacterial SSU rRNA". It matches the Rfam family "Bacterial small subunit ribosomal RNA", at positions 29 to 372 of the family's 1533-position model. The record is from RNAcentral.